Molecule: long non-coding RNA, 1421 nt
Filed under: Olea europaea subsp. europaea
Lineage: Eukaryota; Viridiplantae; Streptophyta; Magnoliopsida; Lamiales; Oleaceae
Source: RNAcentral
UAUAAGAUAAACUUGUCUCUUUCUCUCUAAGCAAGAGACGUCUCACUGCCUCUCUCUCUCGGCCGUUUUCUGUGUUCUUCUUGUUCUACCCUUUCUGCCUCUUUGUGACUACUACCUUAGUGGUGAUAUUAUAUGAGAUUUCUUGCAUUGUGGUCUCCUAAGUGAAAUAUCUCAUUGGCAACUGGAAGUGGAAGCUUGGCAUUGUCUUGGGUCGUUGUUGUCAGCUUGUGGUUCUGGAAGUGGGUAAAAACUAAGCCUGAGUUUUCUUUGGUGCUCAAUACACAUUCUAUAGAUGUGAAAUCAAAUUCAUCUACCAUUCAACAAAUUGCUCGUGCGCUUAGCUCACAAUUUGGUCUUAUAGAUAUAGGUCGUCUCAAUUAUUUUUUGGGCAUUGAAGUGAAAUAUUUUAAUGGUGGCAUUUUUCUAUCAUGGACAAAAUAUACAAAGGAUUUAUUGGCAAAAGCUCACAUCCAGAACUGCUCUCUUAUUUCCACUCCCAUGGCUAUCGAAGUGAAGCCCACUCUCCCUAAAAAAAUGAUCUUGUUAAAGCCACUGAAUUUAGAGCUCUUGUUGGCAGCCUCCAAUACCAUACUUUCUUUCACUCAUCCAAACACACACACACACACUAUCAAUCGUGUUUGUUAGAACUUUCAAACACCAAAUUCUUAUAAUCUUCAAGAUUUGUUUGGUAUCUCAGAGGGACUGCACAUAUUGGCACUUGUUAUCUCACUUAAUGCUCUCCUCCCGCCUUCUAUGCCUUUUCGAAUUCUGAUUUGACUGGUUGUCCACUCACUCAUUGCAGCACAACUGGCUACUCUGUUCAUCUAGGUGCAAACUACAUUUCUUGAUCUCGAAGAAACAAGCUACUGUUGCUCAUUCUAGUGCCGAACUCAAGUACUGAUCCUUAGCUUCUACUGUUGCCGAACUUACUAGGAUUUCAUUUUUACUUCUUCAUGUAGUGUCCUCUCUGACACACUCUCCUUUGCUGUUGUGUGAUAACAAAAGUGCUCUUCAAAUUACUAAGGAUUCCGUGUAUCAUGCCUAUUCCAAGCAUCAGCAUCAUAUAUCAAGGACUUUUACAACAGCUUGGUCACACGAAUUUUCUUCUACAUAAAAUAGUUUAUACGCUUGUUGAAUAGAAGUUUGAUCGUCUUCUGAUUGCAUUUUCGUCCCUGAAUUUUGAAAUAGAGAGCGGCGAAGACCUUGCCAUCUUCGUGUACAUCAAAAGGGAAACCCAGAUUGGUAAGAGCUAUUUUCUUUUCUAGAUUAAAUGACUUUUGCAUUGUGACAUGACUUGUCUCAUGCUGAUAUCACUCAAACUGUUCAGUGUAUUUUCCCCAAAACAUUGUGCAACAAAUCCUAACGCCGCUUUUCAUUAUAAACUCUUGCCUAUGAUUCAUGGCAGGUUAGUUUAUCGCUAU